Gopherus flavomarginatus (Mexican gopher tortoise) is the source of this 5341-nucleotide long non-coding RNA. RefSeq lists it as uncharacterized. The transcript has 5 exons. Lineage: Eukaryota; Metazoa; Chordata; Testudines; Testudinidae. The record is from RefSeq and is a predicted model, not a curated record.
UAAACACAUUUGGUGUGUAUGAGCAAGGUCUGUGACCAGUGCAUAUCUGGUCCAGAAAUACAGGACAUGGUGUCAGGAGUAAACUAAGAACAGAAGCAGAAGGAAAAUUCCAAGAAAGUUUGCAUACAGGAGGAAUAAAACAACAAAUGUUGCAGGAUCUCCUCCUCACGCCACUUUUCAAUAUCCCAGAGAUCUUCAGCAUUGAGAAAUACUCAGAAUGGACAGACUGGAAACAAGAUUUUGCAUUGCCAUCAAGUUCCACAAAGAAACUUGAGCUAUACAGGUAUCUUCUUUAAUUUAUGCUGCUGGGAAGCAAGCAGAGCACAUCUUUAAAUCCUUUGACUUUACUGAAGAUAGUCACAAAGAUGGCUAGGAAAGGGUUCUGCCUAUGUUUGAUGCAUACUUCAUACUUCAGAGAAAUGUGGUUUAUGAAAGAGCAUGUUUUCACCAGAGAAUCCAAGAACUAGAGGAAAAUGUUGAAUGUUUUAUAAAAGCUCUGCAUACAUUGGCUGAAAAUUAUGAUUUGAGGGAAUGCAAAACAUGAGAAUAUCAGAAACAGGCUGGUUAUUGGUGGACAGAUAAAACCUUUGCACAGCAGCUAUCAUUGAAGACAGAUUCAGACUAUGUCUGCACUGGCAAUUGAACGACAAAACUUUUGCCUAUCAGAGGUGUUAACCACCCCACCCCCCAAAAAAGACAAAAUUUUUGCCGCGACAACUGCCGGUAUGAACAGCGCGUUGUCAGCAGGAGCGCUCUCCUGCCGACAUCACAAAAGCCACUCAUUCGGGGUGGAAAAUUUUGUCAGCAGGAGAGCUGACAAACAGCAGCUAUACUGCGCGACUUUUAGCGGCACGGCUGUAGUGGCACAGCCAGGUCACUAAAAGCUGUGUAGUAUAGAUAUAACCUUAAUCUUAGCCACAGCUAUACAGGAAGCAAAGCAGCCUGAGCUGGUGACUCAGCAAAACCUAGAGCAACUUGAAAAACCUGAAAGUAGCUUAGAAACUGUAAGCAGACACUUGAGUGUUACAAGUCAUUAUCGUUAAACCCCGGAGGCAAGGAGAGAGAACUCCCAGGCUAAGAGAGACAAAUUCCAGCCUAUAUGCACAAGGAGUGGAAAAAGUCAUAAUCGAAGAGAUGAUAUGUGUCCAGCCAGAGGCACACGAUGUAAUAAAUGCAUGAAAUAUGGACAUUUUGCAACUGUUGACUGCACCAAAGCAGUCAGGGAAUUGACUCGUGUUAUAGAGCCAUUGUUCCCGGGUUCUAUCACUUGUGAUGACCUAGAGCCUGCCUGGAGAGAGAAAGCGAAGAUUCAUGAUCAGGCUAGAGACUUAGGAGCUGACAUCACAGUCAUCUCCGAAGGGACAAUCACCAUCAGCCCCUCCCACACCUGACACAGCUCUCACUAGCCCUGAAGAGAUUCUGAACUGCACCAAAGAAACAAUUUACAAAGGCAAAAGCUUUGGAUUCAGAGCAGAUGGGAUCAAAAGAUGGCCAACAACUUCUCAGUCACAUUGUGUCAGUCAUCAUGAGCCUAGCGAGACUGGUGUAAGAACUCAAUGGCGUACUUAAUGUAAAUAUAGUACAGUACAAAUCAACUUAAGAGAUCACAUUGAACCAUACAGUGUAGAAACACGUCCACCAGGUAGACCUUGGAAGAGACUAGGUGCAGAUUGAUGCAAAUUCACAAGACAUCAUUUCCUCAUUGUCGUGGAUUACUUUUUCAGGUUUAUAGAAAUAAUGUACUUGAAAGACAUAACAUAUCACAGUGUUACUGAGAAACCGAAGUGCACUUGUGCUUAUUUCAGUGUUUCAGAACAACCAGUGACAGACAACAGGCCACAAUUCAUGGCAGCAGAAUUUGUCAUUCUGAUGAAAUAGCAGCUGACAUUACCCACAAACGAAUGGAGAGGCUGAGAGUGCUGUACAGACAGCCAAAAAAAUCCUACACCAGGAAGAUCCAUUCGUUGCUUUUCUGAGUUACAGAUCAACACCAACAGUAGGUGCUGGACUAAAUCUAGCACCUACAACUCCUGAUGGGAAGACAAUUCAGAACUACUAUUCCAACUUUAGAAAAGAACCAAUUUCCAAAGUGGUCACACAUUAAGAGAGUAGCCAAAUCAGAUAAAAAAGCUAAAAGAGCUUAGGAACGCAUUUACCGUAGAUGUCACUCAGCUAGAGAACUGCUGGGAAUAGAACCUGGUGACCAUGUUUGCAUCAAACUGGAUGGAGAAAAAGGAUGGACACCUCCAGCUGUUGUAAAGAAAUAGAAUCAGUGCUCAGAUCAUAUGUGUAUAUAUGAUCAAGACCAACAGUGGAGAGUUUAACAGAAGCUGUCAACAUCUACACUUUGUUCCUCUGAAAGAACAAUCAACGGAGCAGACUUUACAGAUGGCAGAUGCAGAAUGAGAAAACUCAAGGGUUCUAAACCAACUGCAGCCAGUCAUGCAAUUAACGGACAGACGCAUGACCAAGUCAUUACAUAUUAGGGCCAUGUAAUUAGGAAACCAGUAUAAUUCCACAUUUAACAGACUGAUACCAACUGAACUUCAUAGACAGUGUGAGAGUAUAAAUGUAUUGAAAAUGGUAGGAAUAUAGAACUUAAACAGGAGAAGGAACAGAAUGUUAAACUGCAUUAUAUUGUUCAGCCAUAAGGUGGCACUGUGUGCAAAAUACCUUAUUUGAGCUAACCUCAGCCAUACUUGCAGAGUAUUAAAGAAUCUUAUGAGUAACCAAGCUGGUGUGUGUAAGCAAGCUGUGUGACCAGUCCAGCUCUGGUGCAGAAGUACAUGCCAAAGAGUGAAUGGGACUUACCUACUUUGUCUCCUGCACCCAUCUGUAGCAUUGCUGGCAGCAGGUCCAGAGCAAGGCGGAAACUAUUACUAAAUGCUGGGUGUUUGUUUUCCAUUUACACCUAGUCAGCAAAGCUGGCUUGUCUAAAGCAGCUGGGAAUAAGGAGGAGGUGUCAGCACCACGUAACGAGCCAGUUCUCAGUAAGCGACCAGCAAGAAACUCUGCCCUAGAGGAUCCAACUCACCAUUCCUUACUGAUGUAAAGAGAAGCAUCAAUAGUUACGAUGGAUGGCAGCCUUUGCCUUUGAAUCUAGGAGGAGACUCAAAUCAAUUGGAGGGGGAGCAUCACAUUUUCCAUGAAGCCAUAGGAACAAGGGCGUGAACAGCUGGCCAUUGUCUGGACUGCUCUGUUUCAUUGCAGGGGAGAACCACGAGGGUACAUACCCCAGAAAUCUGGCUGCUGGCCACUUAGAACAGGUCAGAACAGGUACAGCAAGAGCAACAGAGCUGCAGGUUUCUCCCAUGCUGUCCACCGUCAGUGUGCCACAACACUGCUCUAGUGGGACCCUUCUUCAGGGAAAUAUUGUGCUGGGGUCUCCAUGUCCAUCUAGUCGCUGGUCUCAUUGCUGAGACAGGUGGACAGCAUUACUAAUUACUGCCAAUGAUGUGUUGCGGACACUAGAAACUGGACUGAAACCACCAAGGUUUCAUCUCACGAAGGAGUCUGCAAGCAAGAGGAUGCAUGUCCAUAAAGAAUCAUCUGCAUAAAGGCCCCUUGGUGUGCAAACUUUACAAGAGCUGACAUGAAUGUGUAUCUGAGUUAGAGACCUGUCAGUCAAGCUUUCAGCUGCUACAUAAUGGGAUGGACAGGCUGAGGCUUUCUUCCAGUUGAGCGAACUGGAAUGCACAUACUGGUGUGUUAACCAUUAGUGGGAUCUCUGUCUGAAGAAACCAGUGAAGACAUCACCCAGGAGUAUUGUGACAGGCUAUUUAAUCUGACAGAGAACAAGAAGCUCAUCCUUGUGACAGGCGCUUACUCAAACUGCUCCAAUUCAGGACAUUUAGGGGCUUUUGCUAACAAAAGUCACUGCUCCCUUUGCAUUUCCAAUACUGUCAUGACUGAGAUGAUGCUCCACGGGCAUGAGGGACACUAACCAGCGCCUUUGGCUCUACUGCUGCCUAGAAGACUGUACAAAAGUUUUGAGGGUGGUAAACUGGUAUGGAGGGAGUCCUUUCUAUGGGUUAGGCUGGCAAACAGAGGACUAGAACUCCUGGGUUCUGUCCCUGGCUUUAACAUUAUUGCUCAUUUUACUUUUGGCUGCCUGAGUUUCUCCAUCUGUAGAUUGGGGAUGAGAACAUUUAGAUACCUCAGAAGGUCUUGUGAAACUUAAUCAACGUUGAUAACGUGCCUUGGAUAAAAGGAGUUGGAAACAAUCAUUAUUUUUUUUUAUUUUAUUUUUUUUAUUACACCCUCUUCAACAUACAAAAAUAUCACAGUGUAUCUCCUCUCUUUGUCCAGCAGCAUGCCCCAGGAAGGGGUGGUCUUUUUGCAGGCCAUUCCUGGAGAAACCUUUGCCAGAGGCAUGGUGAUCAAGAAUGCCCAUUCCUAUCAGUAGACCGGGCCCAACAGGAAUGAAGGAAACUACGUCCAUUCUGCAUACCACUUGAGCUGACCAUUAUUGUUAUUAUUUAUAUUUCUUCUGGAGACCCGGAAUAAGGAUCAGAGCCCCAUUGUGCUAGGCGCUGUACAAAUGAGUACUCAAAAGAUUGUUCCUACCCCAGAGAGCAAGAACAAGGGAGUGAGGGAGCUUUUACCAAGACAGACAAGUAGAAAUAUUUAUGAGUAAGAACUCUUGAUAUCAGAGUGCUGCAGCAGUGAAUUAUUUUAGAACUCACUACCUCAAGGGGUUUGGACUUCCUUGCCUUGCAGUCAGCUAAAGAUGCUGAUGUGAAUUUGGUAGGAAUUAAACAUAUUCUCUCAACUACUGACAUUUCACUUGAACUGCCUUAAGUAGGAUUUCUUCUCCCCCACCCCGCCCCAACUUCCUCAGGCUGCAUGGUUUGUGAUGGAACAGGAAAAAAACCAACAGAAGGUUCCAAUCAAACUUGCUAACGUAGCUGUCAGUUGGCUGUCGCCCUGGCAAAAGCUUUGUUGAUGCAUAUUGAAAUGUCUCCAUGAGUGAUCAAAUGUUUUCCUGUAUUGCCAUGGAAAUAAAAAGGAAGCUGGAUUUCAACAAGACAGAAUCUUGCAUCUCUUUGUCUGAUUGUCAUCAUCAUGAUGACACAGUAUUAACAUUCUCCACUGAAAAUGAAUGACACAUUUCCAGCGCUAUCCUGUCUAGCGCCUGAGGUAGAAAGGCAUGAACUAUUCCCUUAGCCCUGCACCUCUUCACUUGCAUAAAGCUUGAAUAAUGAGCUUCGGUACCACAGUGUUGCCAGCUCUCACAAGUUUCCCAAGAUAUCUGGUGGUUUUCGUGCAUCCUCACCUCUUGUAGUUACGUUAUUUUGUGAGAAUGACAAUCUUCAUUUAAAAAUAAAAUACAUUUCCAGCC